This 116-nucleotide non-coding RNA is filed under the name Arthrobacter sp. RNAcentral's name for it is "SAM-IV sequence". It matches the Rfam family "SAM (S-adenosyl methionine) riboswitch aptamer". Rfam says of the family: SAM-IV is a mRNA element that regulates gene expression via direct sensing of S-adenosylmethionine (SAM or AdoMet). SAM-IV riboswitches share conserved nucleotide positions with the previously described SAM-I riboswitches sequence analysis and molecular recognition experiments suggest that SAM-I and SAM-IV riboswitches share similar ligand binding sites, but have different scaffolds. The record is from RNAcentral. Lineage: Bacteria; Bacillati; Actinomycetota; Actinomycetes; Micrococcales; Micrococcaceae.
GGUCAUGAGUGCCAGCGCGAAGCCCCGGCUUGCUGGACAGCAACCCUCCUUCCGCGGCGGGGUGCUCCGGGUGAGGACCAGGCCGCCCGGCACAAGCCGGACGGCAAGCGCGGCCC